GGUAUGUAAAGCUCUAUCAGCAGGGAAGAUAAUGACGGUACCUGACUAAGAAGCACCGGCUAAAUACGUGCCAGCAGCCGCGGUAAUACGUAUGGUGCAAGCGUUAUCCGGAUUUACUGGGUGUAAAGGGAGCGCAGGCGGUGCGGCAAGUCUGAUGUGAAAGCCCGGGGCUCAACCCCGGUACUGCAUUGGAAACUGUCGUACUAGAGCGUCGGAGGGGUAAGCGGAAUUCCUAGUGUAGCGGUGAAAUGCGUAGAUAUUAGGAGGAACACCAGUGGCGAAGGCGGCUUACUGGACGAUAACUGACGCUGAGGCUCGAAAGCGUGGGGAGCAAACAGGAUUAGAUACCCUGGUAGUCCACGCCGUAAA
RNAcentral lists this ribosomal RNA (369 nucleotides) under uncultured bacterium. RNAcentral's name for it is "bacterial SSU rRNA". It matches the Rfam family "Bacterial small subunit ribosomal RNA", at positions 420 to 806 of the family's 1533-position model. The record is from RNAcentral.